GGGCCUGUAGUAUAACGGCAGAAUGCGUCCUUCGCAAGGACGAGACCCGAGUUCAAUUCUCGGCAGGUCCA
Molecule: transfer RNA, 71 nt
Filed under: Candidatus Pacearchaeota archaeon
Lineage: Archaea; Nanobdellati
Description: tRNA-Ala
Rfam family: tRNA
About the family: Transfer RNA (tRNA) molecules are approximately 80 nucleotides in length. Their secondary structure includes four short double-helical elements and three loops (D, anti-codon, and T loops).
Source: RNAcentral